AGGUAAGCUACUAAGAGCGAAUGGUGGAUGCCUUGACUGGUAAAGGCGAUGAAGGACGUACUAGACUGCGAUAAGCUACGGGGAGCUGUCAAGAAGCUUUGAUCCGUAGAUUUCCGAAUGGGGCAACCCAAUGUAUAGAGAUAUACAUUACCUAUAUAGGAGCGAACGAGGGGAAUUGAAACAUCUUAGUACCCUCAGGAAAAGAAAUCAAUAGAGAUUGCGUCAGUAGCGGCGAGCGAAAGCGCAAGAGGGCAAACCCAGUGCUUGCACUGGGGGUUGUAGGACUGCAAUGUGCAAGAGGUGAGUUUAGCAGAACAUUCUGGAAAGUAUAACCAUAGAGGGUGAUAGUCCCGUAUGCGAAAAACAAACCUUAGCUAGCAGUAUCCUGAGUAGGGCGGGACACGAGGAAUCCUGUCUGAAUCUGGGUCGACCACGAUCCAACCCUAAAUACUAAUACCAGAUCGAUAGUGCACAAGUACCGUGAGGGAAAGGUGAAAAGAACUGAGGUGAUCAGAGUGAAAUAGAACCUGAAACCAUUUGCUUACAAUCAUUCAGAGCCCUAUGUAGCAAUACAGGGUGAUGGACUGCCUUUUGCAUAAUGAGCCUGCGAGUUGUGGUGUCUGGCAAGGUUAAGCAAACGCGAAGCCGUAGCGAAAGCGAGUCUGAAUAGGGCGCUUAGUCAGAUGCUGCAGACCCGAAACGAAGUGAUCUAUCCAUGAGCAAGUUGAAGCUAGUGUAAGAACUAGUGGAGGACUGAACCCAUAGGCGUUGAAAAGCCCCGGGAUGACUUGUGGAUAGGGGUGAAAGGCCAAUCAAACUUCGUGAUAGCUGGUUCUCUCCGAAAUAUAUUUAGGUAUAGCGUUGUGUCGUAAUAUAAGGGGGUAGAGCACUGAAUGGGCUAGGGCAUACACCAAUGUACCAAACCCUAUCAAACUCCGAAUACCUUAUAUGUAAUCACAGCAGUCAGGCGGCGAGUGAUAAAAUCCGUCGUCAAGAGGGAAACAACCCAGACUACCAGCUAAGGUCCCUAAAUCUUACUUAAGUGGAAAACGAUGUGAAGUUACUUAAACAACCAGGAGGUUGGCUUAGAAGCAGCCAUCCUUUAAAGAAAGCGUAAUAGCUCACUGGUCUAGUGAUUUUGCGCGGAAAAUAUAACGGGGCUAAAGUAAGUACCGAAGCUGUAGACUUGCGCACAACUUAGAUUAUUUAAGUUUAGAAUAUGAGAAACUAAGUUAUAUGUUUAGUUAUAUUUUUACUGAUUUUUAUAGAGUAAAGAUAGAAAUAAAACUUAGUAAAAUCAGUAAAAAUAUUCUUAGACUAAAGUUAAGUAGUUUAAGUUGUGUGCAAGUGGUAGGAGAGCGUUCUAUUUGCGUCGAAGGUAUACCGGUAAGGAGUGCUGGAGCGAAUAGAAGUGAGCAUGCAGGCAUGAGUAGCGAUAAUUAAUGUGAGAAUCAUUAACGCCGUAAACCCAAGGUUUCCUACGCGAUGCUCGUCAUCGUAGGGUUAGUCGGGUCCUAAGUCGAGUCCGAAAGGGGUAGACGAUGGCAAAUUGGUUAAUAUUCCAAUACCAACAUUAGUGUGCGAUGGAAGGACGCUUAGGGCUAAGGGGGCUAGCGGAUGGAAGUGCUAGUCUAAGGUCGUAGGAGGUUAUACAGGCAAAUCCGUAUAACAAUACUCCGAGAACUGAAAGGCUUUUUGAAGUCUUCGGAUGGAUAGAAGAACCCCUGAUGCCGUCGAGCCAAGAAAAGUUUCUAAGUUUAGCUAAUGUUGCCCGUACCGUAAACCGACACAGGUGGGUGGGAUGAGUAUUCUAAGGCGCGUGGAAGAACUCUCUUUAAGGAACUCUGCAAAAUAGCACCGUA
This 1862-nucleotide ribosomal RNA is filed under the name Campylobacter coli. RNAcentral's name for it is "partial 23S ribosomal RNA". It matches the Rfam family "Bacterial large subunit ribosomal RNA", at positions 1 to 1732 of the family's 2925-position model. Lineage: Bacteria; Pseudomonadati; Campylobacterota; Epsilonproteobacteria; Campylobacterales; Campylobacteraceae. The record is from RNAcentral.